Molecule: ribosomal RNA, 1474 nt
Filed under: Lacticaseibacillus casei
Lineage: Bacteria; Bacillati; Bacillota; Bacilli; Lactobacillales; Lactobacillaceae
Description: bacterial SSU rRNA
Rfam family: Bacterial small subunit ribosomal RNA
Source: RNAcentral
GGCGGCGUGCCUAAUACAUGCAAGUCGAACGAGUUCUCGUUGAUGAUCGGUGCUUGCACCGAGAUUCAACAUGGAACGAGUGGCGGACGGGUGAGUAACACGUGGGUAACCUGCCCUUAAGUGGGGGAUAACAUUUGGAAACAGAUGCUAAUACCGCAUAGAUCCAAGAACCGCAUGGUUCUUGGCUGAAAGAUGGCGUAAGCUAUCGCUUUUGGAUGGACCCGCGGCGUAUUAGCUAGUUGGUGAGGUAAUGGCUCACCAAGGCGAUGAUACGUAGCCGAACUGAGAGGUUGAUCGGCCACAUUGGGACUGAGACACGGCCCAAACUCCUACGGGAGGCAGCAGUAGGGAAUCUUCCACAAUGGACGCAAGUCUGAUGGAGCAACGCCGCGUGAGUGAAGAAGGCUUUCGGGUCGUAAAACUCUGUUGUUGGAGAAGAAUGGUCGGCAGAGUAACUGUUGUCGGCGUGACGGUAUCCAACCAGAAAGCCACGGCUAACUACGUGCCAGCAGCCGCGGUAAUACGUAGGUGGCAAGCGUUAUCCGGAUUUAUUGGGCGUAAAGCGAGCGCAGGCGGUUUUUUAAGUCUGAUGUGAAAGCCCUCGGCUUAACCGAGGAAGCGCAUCGGAAACUGGGAAACUUGAGUGCAGAAGAGGACAGUGGAACUCCAUGUGUAGCGGUGAAAUGCGUAGAUAUAUGGAAGAACACCAGUGGCGAAGGCGGCUGUCUGGUCUGUAACUGACGCUGAGGCUCGAAAGCAUGGGUAGCGAACAGGAUUAGAUACCCUGGUAGUCCAUGCCGUAAACGAUGAAUGCUAGGUGUUGGAGGGUUUCCGCCCUUCAGUGCCGCAGCUAACGCAUUAAGCAUUCCGCCUGGGGAGUACGACCGCAAGGUUGAAACUCAAAGGAAUUGACGGGGGCCCGCACAAGCGGUGGAGCAUGUGGUUUAAUUCGAAGCAACGCGAAGAACCUUACCAGGUCUUGACAUCUUUUGAUCACCUGAGAGAUCAGGUUUCCCCUUCGGGGGCAAAAUGACAGGUGGUGCAUGGUUGUCGUCAGCUCGUGUCGUGAGAUGUUGGGUUAAGUCCCGCAACGAGCGCAACCCUUAUGACUAGUUGCCAGCAUUUAGUUGGGCACUCUAGUAAGACUGCCGGUGACAAACCGGAGGAAGGUGGGGAUGACGUCAAAUCAUCAUGCCCCUUAUGACCUGGGCUACACACGUGCUACAAUGGAUGGUACAACGAGUUGCGAGACCGCGAGGUCAAGCUAAUCUCUUAAAGCCAUUCUCAGUUCGGACUGUAGGCUGCAACUCGCCUACACGAAGUCGGAAUCGCUAGUAAUCGCGGAUCAGCACGCCGCGGUGAAUACGUUCCCGGGCCUUGUACACACCGCCCGUCACACCAUGAGAGUUUGUAACACCCGAAGCCGGUGGCGUAACCCUUUUAGGGAGCGAGCCGUCUAAGGUGGGACAAAUGA